RNAcentral lists this long non-coding RNA (547 nucleotides) under Androctonus crassicauda. Lineage: Eukaryota; Metazoa; Arthropoda; Arachnida; Scorpiones; Buthidae. The record is from RNAcentral.
UUUUGUCAACAGACGCGUCACUUUCCAUUCUGUCGAAAUACUAAGUGGCGGGGCCAAACCAGCUUUUCUACCGACCGCUCACCCCGGCGGAGGGGUUGGAUCGGAUGAUGGAGGACGGGCCCGGACCCGGUGAUAAAUAUUUUCCAGAUUGGAAGGCCGAAGCGUUUCCAGGCGGCCAACAAAUUUUAAGAGAAAUGCAAAAACUACGUUUCUUCGCUUUAAAUAUACAAUAUUUAAUUAAAACAAGGCGAUCGUCUACCCUAGCCAAGGCCGAGCGUCAAUUUUACUACGGUUUGGUAAAAAAUUGGACUCGAGUAUUUAUGGUCAGCUGGGGCUUAGACUAAGUGAAAAACGGUAUCGAUCUGGACCAGCAGAUUUCGACUGGAAUGAUAAUUUGGCCAGGCUAUAAUUCGAAUUAACAUAACGGAUCAGAAAAAACAAUUUUUUUACGCUUUACCCGGCAGCCAACUAGACCAUUACCAAUCUUGGAGGUGUAUCUGGCCACGGUGUGGAUGGGCAUUUCGGCGCUACGCUCUUUUCAGUCUCG